RNAcentral lists this ribosomal RNA (548 nucleotides) under uncultured bacterium. RNAcentral describes it as "partial 16S ribosomal RNA". It matches the Rfam family "Bacterial small subunit ribosomal RNA", at positions 355 to 896 of the family's 1533-position model. The record is from RNAcentral.
UAGGGAAUCUUCCGCAAUGGGCGAAAGCCUGACGGAGCAACGCCGCGUGAGUGAAGAAGGAUUUCGGUUCGUAAAGCUCUGUUGUUANGGAAGAAUGAUUGUGUANUANCUAUACACAGUANANACGGUACCUAACCANAAAGCCACGGCUAACUACGUGCCANCAGCCGCGGUAAUACGUANGUGGCAAGCGUUGUCCGGAAUUAUUGGGCGUAAAGCGCGCGCANGUGGUUUAAUAANUCUGAUGUGAAAGCCCACGGCUCAACCGUGGAGGGUCAUUGGAAACUGUUAAACUUGAGUGCAGGAGAGAAAAGUGGAAUUCCUAGUGUAGCGGUGAAAUGCGUANAGAUUAGGAGGAACACCAGUGGCGAAGGCGGCUUUUUGGCCUGUAACUGACACUGAGGCGCGAAAGCGUGGGGAGCAAACAGGAUUAGAUACCCUGGUAGUCCACGCCGUAAACGAUGAGUGCUAAGUGUUGGUCUCAUAANAGAUCANUGCUGCAGCUAACGCAUUANGCACUCCGCCUGGGGAGUACNACCGCNAGGUUG